Molecule: ribosomal RNA, 493 nt
Filed under: uncultured bacterium
Lineage: Bacteria
Description: partial 16S ribosomal RNA
Rfam family: Bacterial small subunit ribosomal RNA
Source: RNAcentral
AUUGAACGCUGGCGGCAUGCUUUACACAUGCAAGUCGAACGGUAACAGGUUAAGCUGACGAGUGGCGAACGGGUGAGUAAUGCAUCGGAACGUGCCCGGUCGUGGGGGAUAACGCAGCGAAAGCUGCGCUAAUACCGCAUACGAUCUGAGGAUGAAAGCGGGGGACCGUAAGGCCUCGCGCGAUCGGAGCGGCCGAUGUCAGAUUAGGUAGUUGGUGGGGUAAAGGCUCACCAAGCCGACGAUCUGUAGCUGGUCUGAGAGGACGACCAGCCACACUGGGACUGAGACACGGCCCAGACUCCUACGGGAGGCAGCAGUGGGGAAUUUUGGACAAUGGGCGCAAGCCUGAUCCAGCCAUUCCGCGUGCAGGAUGAAGGCCUUCGGGUUGUAAACUGCUUUUGUACGGAACGAAAAGGCUCUGGUUAAUACCCGGGGCUCAUGACGGUACCGUAAGAAUAAGCACCGGCUAACUACGUGCCAGCAGCCGCAGUAA